Xenopus tropicalis (tropical clawed frog) is the source of this 444-nucleotide long non-coding RNA. RefSeq lists it as uncharacterized. NCBI's taxonomy places the organism in Eukaryota, Metazoa, Chordata, Amphibia, Anura, Pipidae. The record is from RefSeq and is a predicted model, not a curated record. The transcript is spliced from 2 exons.
GCAGUUUUCUGCUGAUAGCAGCACCGGCCUGGGGUAUCAGGGACGGCAAACAGGGACAAUUGCCAUGGGGACAGCAGCUCUGAAACGGGGUAGAUCCCGUCAAACGGGGACGAAUAUUAACCAUAAUCCAUAAAGAAGAUGAUGGCACACUCUCAGCACUCUGCUUCUGUGCCACGAAGGUCGAACAGUCCUUACAUAAUCUUCUCAACACCUGCCGCCGCCAUCUUGGAAGAGGGCAACCCUGGGCUGCAACAACAUGCGGCAGCCAAAUUAAGGACAUCAUCCUGUCCCCUGAAUAUUCUACCCCUUGGGUAGUUAAUCCAUGCAGUCCUCAAGUCCCCUGGGGACCUGGAAUAAAAUGACAAAAACCUUCUGUAGAAAAAGGAAUAAUAUUCCUCUUGCCUACUACCUAGGACAAAUAAACACAACUGUGAUUUAAGGUAA